Molecule: ribosomal RNA, 498 nt
Filed under: uncultured bacterium
Lineage: Bacteria
Description: bacterial SSU rRNA
Rfam family: Bacterial small subunit ribosomal RNA
Source: RNAcentral
AAGCUGCGGCAGCUUACACAUGCAGUCGUACGGUAGCAGGAGAAAGCUUGCUUUCUUGCUGACGAGUGGCGGACGGGUGAGUAAUGCUUGGGAAUCUGGCUUAUGGAGGGGGAUAACUACUGGAAACGGUAGCUAAUACCGCGUAACAUCUUCGGAUUAAAGGGUGGGAUCUUCGGACCACUUGCCAUAAGAUGAGCCCAAGUGGGAUUAGGUAGUUGGUGGGGUAAAGGCCUACCAAGCCGACGAUCUCUAGCUGGUCUGAGAGGAUGGCCAGCCACACUGGAACUGAGACACGGUCCAGACUCCUACGGGAGGCAGCAGUGGGGAAUAUUGCACAAUGGGGGGAACCCUGAUGCAGCCAUGCCGCGUGAAUGAAGAAGGCCUUCGGGUUGUAAAGUUCUUUCGGUGAUGAGGAAGGCAGAUAAGUUAAUAGCUUGUUUGAUUGACGUUAGUCACAGAAGAAGCACCGGCUAACUCCGUGCCAGCAGCCGCGGUAAU